Molecule: long non-coding RNA, 661 nt
Filed under: Monodelphis domestica (gray short-tailed opossum)
Lineage: Eukaryota; Metazoa; Chordata; Mammalia; Didelphimorphia; Didelphidae
Description: lncRNA (ENSMODG00000048751.1)
Source: RNAcentral
GCAGUUCAGUGAGGAGGGUUAGAGACACAAUUACCAGGGACUGAUAAGUGAAUGUGAGAAGAUAAAGUGAAUUCAAUAAGAGUAGACAGCUUUUGCUAAGAUUUUGGCUAUGAAAGAGAGCAGAGAUAGAGGAAUUUGAGGGAAUGGUAGGACUGAACACAUGGUUGCAUUUUUUAAGGAUGGGGGAGAGCUGAGCAUGUUUAUAGCCACAGAGAAAAAGAAAUGGUAGAUGAGGAGAGGUUGAACAUUAAGGAGAGAAGAGGCUGAUUAAAGGAGACAUGUCUCACAAGAAAUGAAAGGAUAGCACUAAUAGUAGAAUUGCUGGCAUUUGAAAAAUGAUGAACUAAUUUUUUCUUCUAGGAUUGAAACAAAGGAGGAGAUUGUGAAGAAUGGUGUAAAAGUAAUUUGGAGUAUGAAGUCUGACAUAAGAAGAAGCUUGUGGCACAAGAACUCUUUUUUUUCCGGGUGAUUUGAAGGUGACAAUGCAGCAAAUGUUGGCAGAACACAAUCACAUCACCUUAUGCCUUCCCAUCUUCAAGACUGGUGAAUUCUCCAAACUGUGCUGGCUGGAUUUUUCAUCAGUCACAACAGUCUUGAUCUGUCAACUCAACCCCACCUGCACUAGAAGUACCAAUAUGUAUCCUUAGCCUGUGUUGGGCAA